RNAcentral lists this long non-coding RNA (9303 nucleotides) under Medicago truncatula (barrel medic). RNAcentral's name for it is "long non-coding RNA (MTRU_LNC007448)". The record is from RNAcentral. Lineage: Eukaryota; Viridiplantae; Streptophyta; Magnoliopsida; Fabales; Fabaceae.
CUGUUAUUAUUUGAAAUAUUAUCAUUUUUUUUAGCCAAUUUGAGCCGGUAGGUUUAGAUCUUUUUGUUCGGUGACAAACUACAUUACAAGCNCGUACCGUCACUGGUUGGAGAAUGUGUAUAGACUACCGGAGGUUGAAUUCCGCAACUAGGAAGGAUCACUUCCCGUUACCAUUCAUGGAUCAAAUGAUUGAGAGGUUGGCUGGCCAAGCGUUUUACUGUUUCUUGGAUGGGUAUUCGGGGUAUAAUCAAAUAGCGGUGGCCCCGGAAGAUCAAGAGAAGACCGCAUUUACAUGUCCUUUCGGUGUGUUUGCUUAUAGGAGAAUGCCCUUUGGGUUAUGUGGUGCACCGGCAACAUUUCAACGGUGUAUGCUCUCUAUUUUCUCUGACAUGAUAGAGAAGAACAUCGAGGUAUUUAUGGACGACUUCUCUGUGUUCGGUAAGUCUUUUGAUCAAUGCUUGUUUCAUCUCGAUGCUGUCCUUAAAAGAUGCACCGAAACUAACCUUGUUUUAAACUGGGAAAAAUGUCAUUUUAUGGUGACCGAAGGUAUAGUUUUGGGGCAUAAAAUAAGUGCUAAAGGCAUAGAGGUGGAUUAAGCUAAGAUAGAGGUUAUAGAAAAACUUCCCCCGCCUGUUAAUGUUAAAGGGGUGAGGAGUUUCUUGGGGCAUGCCGGUUUAUAUCGGCGUUUCAUAAAAGAUUUUUCAAAAAUUUCAAAGCCCCUUUGUAACCUCUUGACCAAAGAAAAUGAGUUUAAUUUUGAUUCUGAUUGUGUAAAUGCUUUUUCUUUGAUUAAAACCAAGUUGGUAACUGCACCAAUAAUCAUUGCUCCCAAUUGGGAUUUACCUUUUGAACUUAUGUGUGAUGCAAGUGAUUAUGCUGUUGGUGCAGUCCUAGGCCAACGGAAGAACAAAUUUUUCCAUGCAAUUUACUAUGCAAGCAAAGUGUUAAAUGAAAAUCAAGUUAACUAUGCCACAACUGAAAAGGAGUUGCUUGCAGUAAUAUUUGCAUUGGAAAAAUUCCGUUCUUAUCUAAUAGGCUCCAAAGUCAUUGUUUUUACAGAUCAUGCAGCAUUGAAGUAUCUAUUGACCAAAGGAGAUUCGAAGCCUCGACUGUUGAGGUGGAUUCUCUUGUUGCAAGAGUUUGAUCUAGAGAUUCGUGACAAAAAGGGAGUCGAGAAUGUGGUGGCUGAUCACCUCUCCAGGUUGGACAACAAGGAGGUGACUAAGAAANCUGUAACCCUAGAAGAGGGUCCUAACUCAAGGGAUUGAUUAGGACUAUUUUGUUAACUAUCGUAAAACUAGCGACUCAUUCACAAGAAUAGGUGCAGUAUCCCAAUUAGGGGAACAUAGAUGAUUCGAAAGACCUAAACUCAUCUCUCUCUUAUUCUUUAAAUGAAUCUUUAUUUUCUGUUAUUACUUAUGCAAACAAACCAAUCAACUGCCUAGCGGCAAAUUAAAAGAACUUUUAUACAUCUUAAGUUACAACGUAAUUGAAUUAUUGAGAUUAAAACCAGUCCUUGUGGAACGAUAUUUUUACUACUUCGAUAGUAUUUGGUACACUUGCCAAAAAUCUAUCAGGGGUUAAAUUUGAUGUGUGUUGUUUUAAUUUUGUCUAUUCUUUAAUUUAGCAAUUCUUAAAUUUGAUGUGUAUUCUUUAAUUUAGUCGAUUCUUAAAUUUGACGUGUAUUCAGUUAACUAUAGCUAAUUUGAUGUGUAUUCUCUGAUGUCUUAUUUUUUUGAGAGCAGAAGUUGGGAUGGUUAGGAUUUUGCCAGGCUGCAUUUCUUGCUGAGAGGACAUCUUUGACAUGCAUUGAUUACCUAGGCUAUACAUGGACGUUGAUGAUGGAUUUAUGUGAAGAUGAUGGUUUGUCAUGUGUUUUCUCUCGUGAGUGGCCGGCGCAAUGCAGUGCCCGUAAGCUGGUGGAAGGAAACAAGAUCAAGUUUGGUGUAACUGAGGCAGCUAACAAUAGGAUCGUUUUCAUGUGCCCUCCUCCGAUGUUGGUUCUCCGGACUGCAGUACCUCCCUCCACAAGCACCGGUGAAGAUGGACCAGCUUUUCAAGUUGAGUUGUAUUUCUGGGCAAAUUAGAUUUUGGAAGUAGUUGUUUUAUGGGAGGGAAGUCCUGGUUGAUAUCAGCAGUGUGAUGUUGUGAUGUUGUUUUUAUUUUGUUGUAUCUUGGGUAGUUUUGGAAGUUCGUUUCAUGUUUUUGUGUUGUAUUUGUCAACUUAAUGUUUUUUUAAGUAGAAGACUUGAUGUAAUGUUGUUGUGCUAUUGAAUGUGAAGUUAAGUGUUAUCUUGGUGUUCAUCUUUGCUUGCAAUUUCUUUUUUUGAUAUAUAAGAUCUACUUGGUUUUCUUUGGGUGUUUGUAUUUCAUACAAGAAAAUCAGAAUUGUUUGAAUCCAGUAUACAGAUAAAUCUCUAAUGCAAGCAUUGCAUAUUAGUUAUAGUUAAAUGAUUGUGUAAGGGGAGCUAAGUGGGAUAUUGGAAUAAUUCAUACAUGUAAUUAAUGGAUGCAAGAAAUAUGAAUUUGAAAUUAUGUAUGCUUUCUUUACAAAAUAAGUGUUGCUGGAUUUUUUCUGGUGAUCGUACACAAUUGAUUGUAAUAUAGAAAUUUGCUUUCAAAUACUUAAAAAUAAUCUUCAUGGGGGGAUGCAUCUUCAUUCUUCAAAGCCUAACCGUGCAUUUGUGCUGAUGUCAUUGUUUUGAUUUUUAGCAAUCAAUGUUGUAGUUUUUCUAGGGAACUAGGUUGGUAUCAUCAGGUAGUGUACUUAAAUUACAUUGGAAUUAGGGUCUCAAUAUGAGAAUGAAAUCCAAGUGGCAUGUAGAGUUUGUGAUAAGUUGUGUUUUGAAGUGCUUAACAGGUGGUUAUGGAUGUGUGACAUUGGGGGCUGUGAUAAUUAAUGUUGUGCAGACAGAUAUUUUUGCUGGCGCAUGCAUGGAUUUUAAAUGCUGUGUCUGCAUGUUGUAUAUCUAAUUAUGGUGUGAUUUUUCCUUGCCAAGUGCUGCACAAUGAACUCUAUUUUCUUUGCUGAUUUUUCUGCCAUGUGUUAUCAUGUGUUUGGCGUUCAGUUAUACGUCCCUACACACAGCCAACCUAUGACCAUCAUUAUUUGAAGUUGAUAUAUGUUCAUGAGAAUAUGUAUGGACAUUCUCAGAGCAUGUGUGAAAUACGGCCAAUAAUAACCUUUCUGACAGUUCAUUAUAGUUCUUUUUUUGUAAUUAUUGCAUAUUUUGAUUUGCUGAACCAAUUGGAUUCAUGGAUGUUCCAUGUGUGUAUUGCACUAGCAUUUAUUGAACUAAGCCUCGUGUGCAUUUUUUGUUACAUGUGUAUAUCGAACCAAGUUGGUUUGUACUUUUUGUAUGUCAUGUACUUUAAGAGAUGGUUAUAAACCCUUGCCCUUUCUUCUCUACACACAAUCUCAUUUAGUUGUAGACUGGUUAAACUUAGACUAUUAUCUUACACUUUGUUUUUUAAGUUCACAACAUGUUCACUUGGGGAGAAACGAGUUUGAGAGAUGCGCUUAUUGAAAAUGGGGAUGGGAUCGUGACUUUGUCUGGUUUGUUGUUAUUUGGAUACCUUUUUAUUUCAUUUUAUUUUGUGGUUUGAGCAUCAUUUCUCUAAACAUGUUAUGUUGAUUAUCUCAAUUGCAGAUCUUGGAGCUGUUGGUUCUUAUGCCAAGAUUGAUGAGGAUCACGAGAUGUCCAAUGACAGAGGCAAUGUUUUGAAAGGUCAUCUUUUGAAUGAUAUGAAGGGGAUGCUUACAUUGGCAGGUUUGUUUGUUUCGUUUGUCACCAUUGUGCUGCAAGUCCAUGCAUGAGUUUUUUUUUUAUGAUUUUCUGACAUGUUAGGUAGUUUUCUCUUAUUUACAGACCUUGGACUUGGAUGUGGAUUGGAGAGGCCGAGGCUUUGAUGUAUAGGACGUAUUUUGUUGACUUUGACGCCACGCUUGUGAGUGAUUAUUGUAUCUGAGGAGGGUGUUAAUAUUUUCUAAACACUAUGGCAUGUCUCUAUUUACUUUUUUGCUUAUGUAUGAUUUACGUAUUGAGUUGUGUCCUUAAUGUUUCAGGCGAGAUGUAGAUUGCCUGUAUGUUUUGUUAAGGAUUAUGGCGCAUAUGUUGAAGAUUAUGUGAUGCUCUUUGAUCCACAAAACAAUGAGAUUGAAGUUCAUGUGGAAAAGAAGCUGAACAAAAUUUACCUUAGGGAUGCUUGGUAUGGCUUGAAGGAUUUCUACCGCAUAAGUCUUGGUGGAUGGGUCGACAUUACCUACGAGAGCCCAAGGUUGUUUAAGAUGACUGUGCGAAAUAGAUUUGGUCAGGAGAUUAUCUAUCCCACUCAGGCCUCUCCUAUUGUUGCAAAAUUGGAUCGUCGUAUCGUCAAUGGUGGCUUGGUGCAUUUUCUGGGUGCAACGACUAUGGUUUUAACUGCGGCUGAUGCUUAUUCUGGUUUUUUGGUAAUUUAUGGCUUUUCAGUAUAGUUUUUUGAUCAUAUUGUUUUAUGUGACGUUAUCUACGGUAUUAAGAUUGGUUGUGUUAUGCAAUUACGCAACAGAUGUUGUCGUGGUUAGGAUUUUGUCGGCAGGUCAUGCCUCCUAAUGAUGGUGACAUUAGGUUUAUUGAUUACUUGGGCUUUGCUUGGAAGUGUGACUUCAAGUUUGUCCAACAUGACAACAAACUUGCCUGCAGGAUUGGUGGUGAUUGGGGCAAGAUUUGCAGGUCACGAGGUUUUGUGGAAGGCCGUAAAUUGGACCUUGCUAUCACUAAGGAAAGAGACAACGAUACGGUGUGGCUGAGAUAUGUUCCUGUGCCCUCUCAGAAUGAUGAACUUCUCCGGGGAAUGCUGCCAAAAAUGUGGCUAAAUGGCGAUGCUGCUUUGUUCGCCCGACAAGGUUGCAGAUACUUUUGAUGUUGGUUGGUGUUUUGUAUGUUGGUUUGUUGACACCGCAGACAAUUUUAAAUAUUAUGUCUUGUGUUUUUCUUCGCAGAUGCUGACGUUGAUCAUGGUACAUUCCAAAGGUAUGCGGCACAGCUGAUGACGUAUCGUGUCGAGUUUCAGAAAGACACUGUUAGUAUCGUCACUUAGUGUAUCUUUGUCACAUUUUUGUAUGUUUUUUUUGUAUGCAUGUCCCAUUUGACACCGUAAAAUCAUUUAUUCGACUGCUGCGUGACUAUAUGUCAUGGUUAGUGUUGUGUUCUGCAACUGCAUGGUUGAGAAUAUUGUUUAUUAUGGUUGUACUGCAAUUGAAUAGGGUCUGUCAGUUAUCACAUGCUUUGUAUUAUUCUAAAUUUUCGUCAAUUUAUUGGAAGUAAGUGAUGUGAUUAUUUUACGGUGCUGGUUUGUUGUUUGCGAUUAGUUUGUGUUUCGUUCAUUGAUCAGCUUGCAAGGUAACUGAUUUGCACUGCACUGCUUCAUCUUAUUAAUCAAAUUAUACUGGUUAUUUCUCCAUGCAUGUGGUCUCGGAUACUCUACCGCAAGAUAAGCAUUUGUCCUAUUUUGCGCUUAUGCAUUGGUUGUAUGUAAAGGUUAUCUCAAAGUAUAAUCCUUGCGGUGUUACCUAUGGGCUUGUGUUUAUCACUUGAUCAUGAGUCUGCAUAGUAUUUUAUGUAGAUGCAUUUAUGUUUGGAUUGAAAAUAUUCAUAAUGUGUUUGUUCAUUUUAUAGUCAAAGGCCAGGCUUCCUCCAUGUUUUGCAAAGGAAUAUGGCAUCCACAUUGAUGAGUGUGUUGCACUGCGCGAUCCUAAAGGCAAUAUGACAGUUGUGGACGUCAACAAUAAGAAGGGGAAGAUUUAUUUCAAGCAUGGUUGGCUGACGUUGGGGACUGUUUACGAUAUAGAGCAGGGGGCAUGGGUGUACCUGACAUAUGUACGGCCAAACCUUUUGGCCAUGACUUUAAAGGCUAGGACUGGUAUUGAAGUGUCCUAUCCUAAUAACCCAUCUCUUGCCAUUCCUAGGUUCAUCAACCCUGCGGGUGAAGCAUGUCCCGUGUAGUUUUGUCGCACAUAUGUCAAGAUACUGACCUCAUAUCACGUCUGUUCUGGUUAUUUGGUAUAUAGUCCCAACUGUACUAUGUUAUAUUGAUUAUGUGUGUAGUUUCAUGUUUACUAACUUUAUCAAUCGCUAAAUCAUUUCGUUUGCAGAUGCUGCGUUGGAAUGGAUUUUGCCGAGAUGUAUUUCCAGCUCAAGAGAGUACCCUCACUAUUGUUGAUUCCCUGGGGUUCAAUUGGAAGUGCAGUUUGGAGUUUGUGAUUGUUGACAACACUAUGUGGUGCAAAAUUGGCGGAGAUUGGGGGAUCAUUUGUGCACGCAUAACUUGAUUGAUGGAAAUGCUCUAAAGCUUGCUGUCAUUAAGGAAAAGUGCGAUGUUGUUAUUGUGUUCAAGCAGAUGCUUUUGCAGCGGGUUCGUAAACAUUAUGUCAAGCCCCUUUAUCUAGUUGGUGGAAACUAUGUGUAUCAGGUUAAUCACUAUAUAAUGUGAUUAAAUGAAUGAAUUAGUGGACCUAUGUGUUAGCUGAUGAAAGUGUGAUUAGGUCUGAUCUAGCGUCUGUCUUAUGCGGCGACGUAUUUUGGUUUAUCAUUUUUGCUAUAAAUUGGAUAUUUUGUUCUUUCGCGCCAAUCUGUGGGAUUAUAUUUUGGUUUGGUUGUAUUGUUUCACGCAAUGCAAUGCUACUCUUUCUUUUGCGUGUUUAUUUAUACAGAUAUUAUGACUUCUUUCAUCUUAAAUCCUUGCCAUCGUUGUUUGCUAUACUUACUGUGUGCGGAUUUAUCUUUCCCUUACUAACAAGUAAUCACUAUAUGCGCGCAUUCAUAAUUCUCUACAUUUUGGUGGAUGGAAUUUGGUUUUAUGUGUUUCAUUUAUGAGAAGAAAAUUAUCUUUGUUGAAGAGUUAUCAAACAACAUACGAAUUACAUGAUAGUAGGUUAUGUAGAUUGGUAUUCUAACUUAUUUACAACCAAUUUCAAACAGUUAUUUUUCUACCCUUCCGUAAGUAGUAGAUCUCGUGUGAUUGUGUUCAUAUUCAUAGUUAUGUCACGUUUAUAAUGUCUGUCAAAGUUUUCGGAAUAUACUAUUUUUAGUACAUGAUACUUAUAUAACUAUUUAACCGGAUUUCUUUCUCGCCUUUAGAUAUUGCAGCUAUAUUUAACUAAAUUUUGAUACGUCCAUGAUUGAGUUCAUUCUUCGCCUGAUAUAAUAGAACCAUAAAUUGUAUUAAUGACCCAUUUCUAGAGGUCAUGCCAACGACUGCAUUUUACCUAUUUGUAUGUUGUUCGCGUGAUGGAAUGGCCCCACCAACUUAUUCAUCCGAGAAUGAUUCCAUUGAUGAUUGAGAUACAUGACUAUGAUUAGUUAUUUUUCGAGAUGUUGUUGUUUGCGAUUCAUUUUCAUAGGAGUAUCGCUCAUUCAUUAUUUGCUUGUGCAGUAAUGUGAGGGACAAAUUCAAAAACACAUGCACCAUAUAAAUGGGUGUUUUAGAUAUCUGCUAUAUUUUUAGGAAUGCCACAUUUCUCUUAAUAAUUAGACAUGCUAUCCCACCAAGGGUGGGCAAUAUCAUGAAAUAGGAUAUGGUCUAUAUUUGAAUUGCUCCUUUCCAGCGCACAUUGUAAUUAGACUUCUAUACUGUGAUCUCAUGAUAACAUAAUUUACAUAUAGGGGUUCUGUUCAGUGAUGUCAGCGGACUCAUAUGAAGUCAUCUUGACAGUGAAUAACAGUGGUUGCAUGGUUGGCUAACAUGAUUAUCAGCACCCAGAUUGCACGUUUUUAAAUGUCAUCAUCAUGAGUGCUUUCUACUUGAGCCACCUCAAGCUUACAUACAUGAUGUCAUCUUCAUUCUUCCAUGUUACCAAAUGUGUUGUGAUCCCAACUCUUACAUGAAUAUAUCGCUGCACGCUAACGCAUACAGGGAAUGAUGAAGAACAUAUGGUGUAUGUUUGUCUGGCAUAGAUAUCAUUGCUCACUUGACCCGCUCUCCUAUGCCAUCUAUAUGAGAGCGUCCUAUCUAGAACAAUCAAAUUCCUAUGUUCCUAGCGUCACCGUGAUGAUUGUAUGCGGCCUAAGCGAUAAUAAUACAUCAUCUAUUAUGUCAUGUAAAUGAUUGUGCAGUAACUAGGAUCCUUGCAAAGUAUUUCUACUUAUUACACGUGUGUAUUGAUGGACAAAUGUCAUAUUUGGUGGUAUGGUUGCUCCUUUUCAAUGGAAUGUUUGUUUUCUAUGGAAUAACCAAUAACAAUGUCACAUGUGCUUAUCCUUUUCUGUGCAGGCUCAGUAAUAUCAGUUAAUUCCUGGACAUGUGCUUAUCCAUUACUAUAAAUGCAGCAUUUUGCACCUAAAAUUACAUCUGCAACUUUUGUUUGCUGCGUUGCUAAGUAUCUGUUUUGCAAGAUGAUGACCAAGAGAGGUAAUUCAUUGUUUCAAUUGGUUUUUAUAAAUGAUUCCAGGAGUGCUGUUGUACCCUGAUUUUGGACCUAAAAAAUACUUGUUCAAAUUUCUUUUCUAACACUGAUAUUUGUCAAUUCUCUGUUAUUUUACUCUGAAUCUUUACUCUCUUUUUAAACGUAUUUUACUGCCUCUGUCUUUUCUGACAUUACAAGUCAUUUAAGAACUCUCUGAAGUGUCGCAUUACUUUUCUUGCAUUUUAUUUCAAAAAUCAUACAAAAGGGUAUUUUGGUCAUUUCCUGUAGUGGAACCCAUUUUAGUCCCUGUGUUUGCCUCUGAGUCUUUUCAANNNNNNNNNNNNNNNNNNNNNNNNNNNNNNNNNNNNNNNNNNNNNNNNNNNNNNNNNNNNNNNNNNNNNNNNNNNNNNNNNNNNNNNNNNNNNNNNNNNNNNNNNNNNNNNNNNNNNNNNNNNNNNNNNNNNNNNNNNNNNNNNNNNNNNNNNNNNNNNNNNNNNNNNNNNNNNNNNNNNNNNNNNNNNNNNNNNNNNNNNNNNNNNNNNNNNNNNNNNNNNNNNNNNNNNNNNNNNNNNNNNNNNNNNNNNNNNNNNNNNNNNNNNNNNNNNNNNNNNNNNNNNNNNNNNNNNNNNNNNNNNNNNNNNNNNNNNNNNNNNNNNNNNNNNNNNNNNNNNNNNNNNNNNNNNNNNNNNNNNNNNNNNNNNNNNNNNNNNNNNNNNNNNNNNNNNNNNNNNNNNNNNNNNGUUUAGAUCUUUUUGUUCGGUGACAAACUACAUUACAAGCUUAGAGACUUUUAGGAUUUAUCCCUUAUUGUUUUUCUGAGUUAGGCAUUGUAGAAUGUUGCUAAAUAUUAAGUUUGGGGUUGCUAUUGGAAUUUGCAACCAACUAAGUUUGGGGUGGGGGUACUAGAGAACAAAGAAAAA